GGAACUGUAAGCUCAAAAUGGCAGAGCGACCAGGUAAUCCACCUGGGAGGUUGGUGGUUCGAAUCCACCCAGCUCCA
Molecule: transfer RNA, 77 nt
Filed under: Spinacia oleracea (spinach)
Lineage: Eukaryota; Viridiplantae; Streptophyta; Magnoliopsida; Caryophyllales; Amaranthaceae
Rfam family: tRNA
About the family: Transfer RNA (tRNA) molecules are approximately 80 nucleotides in length. Their secondary structure includes four short double-helical elements and three loops (D, anti-codon, and T loops).
Source: Rfam by way of RNAcentral